This 419-nucleotide ribosomal RNA is filed under the name uncultured bacterium. Its description in RNAcentral is "bacterial SSU rRNA". It matches the Rfam family "Bacterial small subunit ribosomal RNA", at positions 355 to 786 of the family's 1533-position model. The record is from RNAcentral.
UGGGGAAUAUUGGGCAAUGGGCGAAAGCCUGACCCAGCAACGCCGCGUGAAGGAAGAAGGUCUUCGGAUUGUAAACUUCUUUUAUGAGGGACGAAGGACGUGACGGUACCUCAUGAAUAAGCCACGGCUAACUACGUGCCAGCAGCCGCGGUAAUACGUAGGUGGCAAGCGUUAUCCGGAUUUACUGGGUGUAAAGGGCGCGUAGGCGGGAUGCAAGUCAGAUGUGAAAUCUAUGGGCUUAACUCAUAAACUGCAUUUGAAACUGUAUCUCUUGAGUGCUGGAGAGGUAGACGGAAUUCCUUGUGUAGCGGUGAAAUGCGUAGAUAUAAGGAAGAACACCAGUGGCGAAGGCGGUCUACUGGACAGUAAACUGACGCUGAGGCGCGAAAGCGUGGGGAGCAAACAAGGAGUUAGAUACC